Prunus persica (peach) is the source of this 553-nucleotide long non-coding RNA. RefSeq lists it as uncharacterized. Lineage: Eukaryota; Viridiplantae; Streptophyta; Magnoliopsida; Rosales; Rosaceae. The record is from RefSeq and is a predicted model, not a curated record. The transcript is spliced from 3 exons.
UCUCUCUCUCCUUCCGCGCGACUUGGCCGUGCGACCCUUCGCCUUCUCGGCGACGGCCCGGCCACCACAGGCCGAGCUGAUCUCCGCCGUGGGUACCAUCGGGUCUGCCUCCCUCUCGUCGUCAAAACCUGACCGACCUCCACCCUUGGGCCGCUCGGAGUUGAUCGGAAAACCAUGUUUUCCGACGGAGAUUCGUCCGAAACCACCCGAACUUCCAGCUCGAUUUUCUCCUUCAAUUUUCCACCAAAUCGGUCGAGUAAGGCACCAGGAGCCCGACAGGAUUGCAAAAGAGACCUUCGAAGGGUCAAAGUAGCUCGGACCAUCUGCCGUAGAAGUACGCGGGAUCCACCACCGGGCCAUACAUAGCUUCCGCGCCAUCAAGAAAGGUAGAGUUUUGAAGAAAAUCCUUGAAACCUCGAAAGCCUUAGAAAAUGCUCUGAUAUCUAGUUAAAAUUGAGAAACUAGAGUUGAGAAUGGUUACUUGAGAUAUUCUGGCAGUUGGUGUGAAUUUAUUGACUGUUUAACAGGCGGAAGAAUUUGGGAUUUGUCAAAA